UGUUUGGACUAUUUUAGACCAGUCUGGUAGGAACCGCUGCGGAGUAGCACAAAUACCUGCGUGAUUCGUCAUAGACAUAAACAGAGAAGUAGCUCCGGCUACAAUGUUCUUCCGCAAGAUGCAUGCCGUUCUGUUUAACCGUUAGAGCGCCAAAAGUUAUGGACAUGUUUAUAUAUUAUAUGUUGUGUUUGUGAAUGAAGGAGAUUUAUUGGAUGGGGCACGCGCGAGACAAAUUCGAAAUUUUAAAUGAGCAAGUCUAACGGACUUUCGGAGAAUCUUGAGUACUGCGCAUGCGCAUCAUUUUGUUCUGUAACGGUCGACUUCCAGCAGACGGACACGGAGUAAAAGCAGCUGGAGGAGAGACAGCCUGUGCAGCAACAACAAGACAACAAUGAUUAUAAGCAGGGAUAAUCUCCAGGUGGACUGCAUGGGUCCAGGAUCAAGAGAUCAUUCAUCAUGCAGACCAUGUUCCAGGAGAAGCAGCGUAUACUGGGUCUGCUUGAUCAUUUUGUUGUCCUGGAUGUGAGAACAUGGUCAAAAGAUGUGUCAAUCAGCAUCCAGCCAUAAAAGCAGCCUUCUCGUUAAAGGCUGCCAGAGGAGGAUGAUGAUGGCAGUGGUGACCGAGGUGACUGUGCAGCUCAGGAUGAAGAAGAGGAGGAACAUCUUCCAGUUUGCAAAAAUCCAAAGUGAAUAUAUAGAGACCAUCCUCCUAUCCUUGCCUCAGAAGAACCUGAGAAAGACCCUCUUCCUCUUCUCUCACAGCUCUCCAUCAUCUACCUCUACAACACUGUUGGCAAGAGUGUUAUACACAGCUGAGGACACGGUAAUGAGAGAUCUCAAAUUCUUCCUCAAAGUCUGCAUGUUCAUUUUCUUGAACAAAAACUGUACAUGUAUUUUUGGGUGGGCCAAACUAUUAUUUGAAGAAAUGCUAAAAAUCUCUAUAUUGUUCUUUAUACAUAUCUUUUACUCUUUAUGAAUGUCAUCUUCUGGAUUUUUUUUAGCUUUUGAGAAGCUCAAGGACUGUAUAUCUUUGGUAAUUGUGAUAUUGUCUGGCAGUAAAGCAGUAUUAAAGCACAUUACCUCAGUAUAUUUGUAGCAGCUGCCUCAUACAGGACACUUAGGAAAUGGUUUAAUAUAUAUUUUUUGCAAAUAAAGUAAUAAAAUAUCUGCUGAA
Megalobrama amblycephala (Wuchang bream) is the source of this 1174-nucleotide long non-coding RNA. RefSeq lists it as uncharacterized. The record is from RefSeq and is a predicted model, not a curated record. NCBI's taxonomy places the organism in Eukaryota, Metazoa, Chordata, Actinopteri, Cypriniformes, Xenocyprididae. The transcript has 6 exons.